ACAAAAACAUAAAAGUUUUCUUUUUCUAAAAAGUGAAUUUCUAUCAACAACAACAAAAUGCCUUGCAAAGGAUGCGGUAAUGGUUGCAAAUGCACUGCCCAAAAGUGCGGCGACAGUUGUCCCUGUGACCAGCACUGUCAUUGCCCCUGCAAAUCGGGUUCCAAGGAUGAAUGCUGCAA
Long non-coding RNA from Musca vetustissima, 179 nucleotides. RefSeq lists it as uncharacterized. The transcript has 2 exons. Lineage: Eukaryota; Metazoa; Arthropoda; Insecta; Diptera; Muscidae. The record is from RefSeq and is a predicted model, not a curated record.